AGCGAUUAGAAUAAGCAUGGCUGGAUAUCCUACUCGGAGACCAUUCUAUGAAUUUCUAGAUCGUUUUGGCAUCCUUUCUCCUGAAGUUUUAGAUGGAAGUACGGACGAGGUUGCUGCAUGCAAAAGGCUCCUGGAGAAAGUUGGACUUCAAGGCUACCAGAUUGGGAAAACAAAGGUGUUUCUGAGAGCUGGUCAAAUGGCGGAACUGGAUGCUCGAAGAACAGAGGUGUUAGGGAGAUCUGCUAGCAUCAUCCAGAGAAAAGUUCGUUCUUACAUGGCUCGGAGAAGUUUUACAGUGUUACGUCGGUCAACAAUACAGAUACAAUCUCUGUGCCGUGGGGAACUUGCUCGACGUGUAUAUGAGAGCUUGCGGAGGGAAGCAGCUUCUCUUAGAAUCCAGACAAAUGUGCGCAUGCAUAUUGCUAGGAAGGCUUACAAAGAGUUGUGGUCCUCUGCUGUUUCAAUUCAGACAGGAAUGCGUGGGAUGGCUGCACGCAAUGAAGUUCGAUUCAGGAGGCAGACAAAAGCUGCCAUUAUCAUUCAGAGUCAUUCUCGUGCAUUCUUAGCUCGAUUGAAAUACAAGAAACUCAAGAAAGCUGCUAUUACCACUCAAUGUGCUUGGAGAGCUAGAGUUGCUCGUGGAGAACUACGGAAACUUAAGAUGGCUGCAAGG
RNAcentral lists this unclassified non-coding RNA (673 nucleotides) under Hevea brasiliensis (rubber tree). Lineage: Eukaryota; Viridiplantae; Streptophyta; Magnoliopsida; Malpighiales; Euphorbiaceae. The record is from RNAcentral.